GUCUACAGCCAUGCCACCCUGAAGUCCGAUCCCGUCUGAUCUCGGAAGCUAAGCAGGGUCGGGCCUGGUUAGUACUUGGAUGGGAGACCACCUAGGAAGACCAGGUGCUGUAGGCU
Molecule: ribosomal RNA, 116 nt
Filed under: Pteropus alecto (black flying fox)
Lineage: Eukaryota; Metazoa; Chordata; Mammalia; Chiroptera; Pteropodidae
Source: RNAcentral